This 253-nucleotide ribosomal RNA is filed under the name uncultured bacterium. RNAcentral describes it as "partial 16S ribosomal RNA". It matches the Rfam family "Bacterial small subunit ribosomal RNA", at positions 524 to 776 of the family's 1533-position model. The record is from RNAcentral.
UACAGAGGUGGCAAGCGUUGUUCGGAAUUACUGGGCGUAAAGGGCGCGUAGGCGGUCCUGUAAGUCCCGCGUGAAAUCCCCCGGCUCAACUGGGGAACGGCGCGGGAGACUGCGGGGCUUGAGUUCGGGAGAGGGAAGCGGAAUUCCGGGUGUAGCGGUGAAAUGCGUAGAUAUCCGGAGGAACACCGGUGGCGAAGGCGGCUUCCUGGACCGACACUGACGCUGAGGCGCGAAAGCUAGGGGAGCAAACGGG